CCUCACUUCUCACAGCCGCCUGAGACUGUCCCUGCUCUAGAGGGGGCUGGACCAGGGGGGAUGCCCACCACUGCCCAGGCCACGCACGUAUUGGCCUGCCCACAGGGCUGUGGAGAGGGGUCACACCCGCUGAGCAACAUGCCCUCGGAGGGGGGCCUGGUGGCUUCUAAGUGUGGGGGGAGUGUUGGCUCUGCCCUGGCCCCUCACACCCACGGGAUGCACCUGCCUUACCCUCUUGCCUGCGCACGAGAGAUGGAGGAAUGACCACGCUCACGCCUAUGCCAAUGCCCGGAAUACAGCAGGGACUCAAUAAAUGCACAGCCAGACGAGGGGAACUCCUGGCUAUAGUGUUUCCCAGGUUUUCUCUACACUCAGCGAGGAGCAGGACUCACUGGGACGCUCCCCGAUCUCCCCCACUUCAGAGCAAAGAGAGCCCAGGAAACCCACCAUCGGGGAGGACCUUGUACAUGCCUUCUGGGGGCUUCUGAACGGCCAACUGUUCCUGAGCCCUGACCAGCUCCAGGAGCCGUGCUCUUCACGGGCCUGCUCAGCAGCCCCCAUUAGUGGUGGGUAAUAACGACCGCCGAUGACCGAACGACGCGCUGCAGCUUUCAAGCCUGAAGACACGCCAAAUUGCCAUUUGCUUUCAUUACUGCGAGCUCAAAAUAUUCCAGUGCCAGCUUGCUGUGUGACCCAUGUCUCCCGAGGGCCACCGAAUGGUUUCCAUGAUAGAAUUCCCUCUCGCAGAGGCGCCGAGUCCACUCUGAGUCACCCUUGAACACACGUGUGUGCACACACGCACACACCUGGCUCCUGACCCAAGCUGCCCAGACACCCGUCGGACCCCAUGGAGAAGCUCACGCUGUGGGCCCUGCGCGGACAGGGGGAGUGAGCACGCGGGGAUGACUCCACCGCGGGACUGGUCUGAUGGUUUCCCUCCCCCAUGCCUCCGUGGCCUGGGUUUGACCCUGAGCUCUCUACUGGGGCUUCGAGGCCCCCAGCACCGGCCUGAAGGGCUCCCCAGAGAGGCUGUCCCCUGCCCAGCACAGCCACGUCAGCCCUGGAGAGGUGGUCCCUCCCAACCUCACAGUGUGCAGGAAGCCUCCCCCAGACUAUAAGUCCUGUGAGGGCAGGGGUGUGUCUGUCUUUGUCACCACUGGACACCCAAUGCCUGACUCUGAGCCUGAGCUCUCUGAGGCCGGGGAGAGCAGGGACAGAGUCUUGACUCAGGAGCCUGACUCACAGGGGAUGGGGGACAGCCUGCCACCCACCAAUUGAUCCCCUGCCUGGCUUCCUUACACACUGACACACCACAUUCCCACACACGUCGUGGCAUACCCCCUGCAAAGAACCCACUGGCCAUCUGGCAGUUCCCUCUACCAGCCAUGCCCACAAGUUCCUCCAGAACUCUCCUGGGCCCUCUGCUUCCCACCCCUCCCCAGGAAUUGAUCUAAUUUCCCAGAGAAUACUGUGACUCGCCCAAGAUCACACACGAGGGGCUGCAGAGUUUUGGAACCCAAGGAGGGCGGCGCAGGGAGAGGGCAGGUAGUGAAUCCAGCUGCUCCCACAGGCAUCCGAGCAUUCAUUCAGUCAGCCAGGCAUCUGUUUGUUUGUUUUCCCAACAAACAUUUAUUACGCCCCAGGCAGGCGGCUCGGUGCUGGGGACCCAGCCAUGAACAAGGCCAGCCGAGAGCCAGAGCGCGGGCCAGAGAGGCAGACAGAUGCUAAACAAGUAAUUACGAGCAUGAUGGAUGCCACAAAGGAAACGCAGAGAGCCCUGGGAGGGCACGGGAGGGGCAUACCGCUUCUCACAUUUGCACAAGGCUUGACAGCAGUCUUGCCCUGAAGUGGUCUUGCGGCACCUUCAUCAGAAGCCCCUGAGAAACCUGUUUUACCCACCCCCACCCCCUGCAGACUCAGCACCCCUGGGGAGGGGUGUUUCCUCCUGACCUGCUGCCCAGAGGCUACUCUGAGGUUCUGGGACCACAGCUUUGGAGGUCUGGAGGGAAGCGGAGAGUGCAAAUGCUUUUCUAAUCACCCUCCCUGUCCUUGAGCUUCUUGCCAGGCCUCUGAGGUGGGUUGAAUAAACCAGUUUACAAAUAAGGAAACCAGGGCCUUGAAAAGCCCAGUGACUAGUGAAUGCAGAGCAAAAAUUCAAACCCAGGCCUGGCAGACUCCAGAUUUUCAGGAAGGGUCCUUAGAGGUGGCCCAGCUCCUGGGUGCUGGAUGUGAAGCCUCUUGAAGUGUGUUUAUAGUAAAAAGGGAAAACAAGGGACUAGUUCCUGGGAAGCCAAUGUUACUACUGACAAGGUGCC
This 2315-nucleotide long non-coding RNA is filed under the name Dasypus novemcinctus (nine-banded armadillo). RNAcentral's name for it is "lncRNA (ENSDNOG00000050441.1)". Lineage: Eukaryota; Metazoa; Chordata; Mammalia; Cingulata; Dasypodidae. The record is from RNAcentral.